UACAGGGGGUGCAAGCGUUGUUCGGAAUUAUUGGGCGUAAAGCGCGUGUAGGCGGGCCACUAAGUCCGGUGUGAAAUCCCUCGGCUUAACCGAGGAAGAGAAUUGGAUACUGGUGGUCUUGAGUACUGGAGAGGGUAGCGGAAUUCCCAGUGUAGAGGUGAAAUUCGUAGAUAUUGGGAGGAACACCGGUGGCGAAGGCGGCUACCUGGACAGUGACUGACGCUGAGACGCGAAAGCAUGGGUAGCAAACAGGAUUAGAUACCCUGGUAGUCCAUGCCGUAAACGAUGGGUGCUAGUUGGUGCGGGUAUUGACCCCUGCGCUGACGAAUCUAACGCGUUAAGCACCCCGCCUGGGGAGUACUGCCGCAAGGCUA
Molecule: ribosomal RNA, 374 nt
Filed under: uncultured prokaryote
Description: bacterial SSU rRNA
Rfam family: Bacterial small subunit ribosomal RNA
Source: RNAcentral